Molecule: ribosomal RNA, 253 nt
Filed under: uncultured bacterium
Lineage: Bacteria
Description: partial 16S ribosomal RNA
Rfam family: Bacterial small subunit ribosomal RNA
Source: RNAcentral
UACGGAGGGUGCAAGCGUUAUCCGGAAUCACUGGGUUUAAAGGGUGCGUAGGUGGUAUCGUAAGUCAGAAGUGAAAGUUUGCGGCUUAACCGUAAAAUUGCUUUUGAUACUGCAAUACUUGAAUCAGGUUGAGGUUGGCGGAAUGUGGCAUGUAGCGGUGAAAUGCUUAGAUAUGCCAUAGAACACCAAUUGCGAAGGCAGCUGACUGGACCUGUAUUGACGCUGAGGCACGAAAGCGUGGGGAGCGAACAGG